Molecule: ribosomal RNA, 253 nt
Filed under: uncultured bacterium
Lineage: Bacteria
Description: partial 16S ribosomal RNA
Rfam family: Bacterial small subunit ribosomal RNA
Source: RNAcentral
UACAGAGGGUGCAAGCGUUGUUCGGAAUUAUUGGGCGUAAAGAGCGUGUAGGCGGCCAGGCAGGUCCGCUGUGAAAACUCGAGGCUCAACCUCGAGAGGUCGGUGGAAACCGUCUGGCUAGAGUCCGGAAGAGGAGAGUGGAAUUCCCGGUGUAGCGGUGAAAUGCGCAGAUAUCGGGAAGAACACCCGUGGCGAAGGCGGCUCUCUGGGACGGUACUGACGCUGAGACGCGAAAGCGUGGGGAGCGAACAGG